Molecule: ribosomal RNA, 253 nt
Filed under: uncultured bacterium
Lineage: Bacteria
Description: partial 16S ribosomal RNA
Rfam family: Bacterial small subunit ribosomal RNA
Source: RNAcentral
UACGUAGGUGGCAAGCGUUGUCCGGAUUUAUUGGGUUUAAAGGGUGCGUAGGUGGUCAAUUAAGUCAGUGCUGAAAUAUCCCGGCUUAACCGGGAGGGUGGCAUUGAUACUGAUUGACUUGAGUGGAGUUGAGGUAGGCGGAAUUGACGGUGUAGCGGUGAAAUGCGCAGAUAUCAGGAGGAACACCGGUGGCGAAGGCGGGUCUCUGGGCCGAUACUGACGCUGAGGAGCGAAAGCGUGGGGAGCAAACAGG